CCUACGGGUGGCAGCAGUGAGGACUAUUGGUCAAUGGUCGGGAGACUGAACCAGCCAAGCCGCGUGAGGGAUGAAGGUACAGAGUAUCGUAAACCUCUUUUGUCAGGGAACAAAGGCGGGGACGUGUCCCCGGAUGAGUGUACCUGAAGAAAAAGCAUCGGCUAACUCCGUGCCAGCAGCCGCGGUAAUAGGGCGGAUGCGAGCGUUAUCCGGAUUUCUUGGGUUAAAGGGGGGCGCAGGGGGUCUGUUAAGUCAGCGGGCAAAGCCCGGGGCUCAACCCCGGCCCGCCGUUGAAACUGGCAGUAUCGAGUGGGAGAGAAGUAUGCGGAAUGCGCGGUGUAGCGGUGAAAUGCAUAGAUAUCGCGCAGAACUCCGAUUGCGAAGGCAGCAUGCCGGCUCCACACUGACGCUGAGGCACGAAAGCGUGGGUAGCGAACAGGAUUAGAUACCCGAGUAGUC
This 459-nucleotide ribosomal RNA is filed under the name uncultured bacterium. RNAcentral's name for it is "partial 16S ribosomal RNA". It matches the Rfam family "Bacterial small subunit ribosomal RNA", at positions 338 to 795 of the family's 1533-position model. The record is from RNAcentral.